UUAAGUUGCAGGGUAUAGACCCGAAACCCGGUGAUCUAGCCAUGGGCAGGUUGAAGGUUGGGUAACACUAACUGGAGGACCGAACCGACUAAUGUUGAAAAAUUAGCGGAUGACUUGUGGCUGGGGGUGAAAGGCCAAUCAAACCGGGAGAUAGCUGGUUCUCCCCGAAAGCUAUUUAGGUAGCGCCUCGUGAAUUCAUCUCCGGGGGUAGAGCACUGUUUCGGCAAGGGGGUCAUCCCGACUUACCAACCCGAUGCAAACUGCGAAUACCGGAGAAUGUUAUCACGGGAGACACACGGCGGGUGCUAACGUCCGUCGUGAAGAGGGAAACAACCCAGACCGCCAGCUAAGGUCCCAAAGUCAUGGUUAAGUGGGAAACGAUGUGGGAAGGCCCAGACAGCCAGGAUGUUGGCUUAGAAGCAGCCAUCAUUUAAAGAAAGCGUAAUAGCUCACUGGUCGAGUCGGCCUGCGCGGAAGAUGUAACGGGGCUAAACCAUGCACCGAAGCUGCGGCAGCGACGCUGAUGCGUUGUUGGGUAGGGGAGCGUUCUGUAAGCCUGUGAAGGUGUGCUGUGAGGCAUGCUGGAGGUAUCAGAAGUGCGAAUGCUGACAUAAGUAACGAUAAAGCGGGUGAAAAGCCCGCUCGCCGGAAGACCAAGGGUUCCUGUCCAACGUUAAUCGGGGCAGGGUGAGUCGACCCCUAAGGCGAGGCCGAAAGGCGUAGUCGAUGGGAAACAGGUUAAUAUUCCUGUACUUGGUGUUACUGUGAAGGGGGGACGGAGAAGGCUAUGUUGGCCGGGCGACGGUUGUCCCGGUUUAAGCGUGUAGGCUGGUUUUCCAGGCAAAUCCGGAAAACUAAGGCUGAGGCGUGAUGACGAGGCACUACGGUGCUGAAGCAACAAAUGCCCUGCUUCCAGGAAAAGCCUCUAAGCAUCAGGUAACAUCAAAUCGUACCCCAAACCGACACAGGUGGUCAGGUAGAGAAUACCAAGGCGCUUGAGAGAACUCGGGUGAAGGAACUAGGCAAAAUGGUGCCGUAACUUCGGGAGAAGGCACGCUGAUAUGUAGGUGAAGUCCCUCGCGGAUGGAGCUGAAAUCAGUCGAAGAUACCAGCUGGCUGCAACUGUUUAUUAAAAACACAGCACUGUGCAAACACGAAAGUGGACGUAUACGGUGUGACGCCUGCCCGGUGCCGGAAGGUUAAUUGAUGGGGUCAGCGCAAGCGAAGCUCUUGAUCGAAGCCCCGGUAAACGGCGGCCGUAACUAUAACGGUCCUAAGGUAGCGAAAUUCCUUGUCGGGUAAGUUCCGACCUGCACGAAUGGCGUAAUGAUGGCCAGGCUGUCUCCACCCGAGACUCAGUGAAAUUGAACUCGCUGUGAAGAUGCAGUGUACCCGCGGCAAGACGGAAAGACCCCGUGAACCUUUACUAUAGCUUGACACUGAACAUUGAGCCUUGAUGUGUAGGAUAGGUGGGAGGCUUUGAAGUGUGGACGCCAGUCUGCAUGGAGCCGACCUUGAAAUACCACCCUUUAAUGUUUGAUGUUCUAACGUUGACCCGUAAUCCGGGUUGCGGACAGUGUCUGGUGGGUAGUUUGACUGGGGCGGUCUCCUCCUAAAGAGUAACGGAGGAGCACGAAGGUUGGCUAAUCCUGGUCGGACAUCAGGAGGUUAGUGCAAUGGCAUAAGCCAGCUUGACUGCGAGCGUGACGGCGCGAGCAGGUGCGAAAGCAGGUCAUAGUGAUCCGGUGGUUCUGAAUGGAAGGGCCAUCGCUCAACGGAUAAAAGGUACUCCGGGGAUAACAGGCUGAUACCGCCCAAGAGUUCAUAUCGACGGCGGUGUUUGGCACCUCGAUGUCGGCUCAUCACAUCCUGGGGCUGAAGUAGGUCCCAAGGGUAUGGCUGUUCGCCAUUUAAAGUGGUACGCGAGCUGGGUUUAGAACGUCGUGAGACAGUUCGGUCCCUAUCUGCCGUGGGCGCUGGAGAACUGAGGGGGGCUGCUCCUAGUACGAGAGGACCGGAGUGGACGCAUCACUGGUGUUCGGGUUGUCAUGCCAAUGGCACUGCCCGGUAGCUAAAUGCGGAAGAGAUAAGUGCUGAAAGCAUCUAAGCACGAAACUUGCCCCGAGAUGAGUUCUCCCUGACUCCUUGAGAGUCCUGAAGGAACGUUGAAG
Molecule: ribosomal RNA, 2171 nt
Filed under: Escherichia coli
Lineage: Bacteria; Pseudomonadati; Pseudomonadota; Gammaproteobacteria; Enterobacterales; Enterobacteriaceae
Description: partial 23S ribosomal RNA
Rfam family: Bacterial large subunit ribosomal RNA
Source: RNAcentral